GACGAACGCUGGCGGCGUGCCUAUUACAUGCAAGUAGGACGCACAGUUUAUACCGUAGCUUGCUACACCAUAGACUGUGAGUUGCGAACGGGUGAGUAACGCGUAGGUAACCUGCCUAUUAGAGGGGGAUAACUAUUGGAAACGAUAGCUAAUACCGCAUAACAGUAUGUAACACAUGUUAGAUGCUUGAAAGAUGCAAUUGCAUCGCUAGUAGAUGGACCUGCGUUGUAUUAGCUAGUAGGUAGGGUAAAGGCCUACCUAGGCAACGAUACAUAGCCGACCUGAGAGGGUGAUCGGCCACACUGGGACUGAGACACGGCCCAGACUCCUACGGGAGGCAGCAGUAGGGAAUCUUCGGCAAUGGGGGGAACCCUGACCGAGCAACGCCGCGUGAGUGAAGAAGGUUUUCGGAUCGUAAAGCUCUGUUGUUAAGGAAGAACGAGUGUGAGAAUGGAAAGUUCAUAACUGGG
Molecule: ribosomal RNA, 470 nt
Filed under: Streptococcus anginosus
Lineage: Bacteria; Bacillati; Bacillota; Bacilli; Lactobacillales; Streptococcaceae
Description: bacterial SSU rRNA
Rfam family: Bacterial small subunit ribosomal RNA
Source: RNAcentral